Molecule: regulatory RNA element, 379 nt
Rfam family: cspA thermoregulator
Source: Rfam
UAACGUUUUUAUAACGAUUAAUUAUACAUAUAAUAUUCUGUUAAUGAUAAAAUUUUUUUUAGCACCACCUGUGCUACAGUAUUAGGAGGAUUAAGUACUAUGCAAAACGGUAAAGUAAAAUGGUUUAACAAUGAAAAAGGUUUUGGGUUUAUCGAAGUUGAAGGCGGAGAUGAUGUAUUCGUACACUUCACUGCUAUCCAAGGUGACGGAUACAAAUCAUUAGAAGAAGGUCAAGAAGUUUCUUUCGAAAUCGUUGAAGGUAACCGCGGACCACAAGCUGCUAACGUAACAAAGUUAUAAUCACAAGCACUUCAAAUAACUUGUGAUUCAACCAUAGACAACUUGAAUUAACAGAGGCUGAGUUUUCUCCGCCUCUUUU